CAACAGUUUUGGUCCUGGGCUAACCGUUGUUUUUUAUUAAGUUUAUACAUGCAAGUUUCAACACACCAGUGAAAAUGCCCACAAUCCCUAAAAAGAGGGCCGGAGCGGACAUCAGGCACCACUAUGAGCCCACAACGUCUUGUUAUACCACACCCACACGGGUAAUCAGCAGUAAUAAAUAUUGAACCAUAAGUGAAAACUUGAUUCAACUAUAAUUCAACUAAGGGCUGGUUAAUUUCGUGCCAGCCACCGCGGUUAUACGAAAAGCCCAAAACAACGACCAACGGCGUAAAAUGUGAUUAGAGUUUUAUAUACCAAAAAUAUUUAAACCUGCUGCCCAGUUGUAAAAUACUCAAAGGAAGCAGAGAAAACCCCACACAAAUAUUUUUUAAUUAUAUUCUUGAAUCCACGAAAGCUUAGAAACAAACUAGGAUUAGAUACCCUACUAUGCUAAGCACUAAACAGAGGAAUACUAUACAGCAUCCUCCGCCAGAGAACUACAAAUGAAAAAUUUAAAACUCAAAGGACUUGACGGUGUCCCAUAUCAACCUAGAGGAGCCUGUCCUAUAAUCGAUAACCCCCGCUUCACCCUACCUUAACUAGCAUUCCCUCAGCCUAUAUACCGCCGUCGACAGCCUACCCCAUGAGGGCUUAAUAGUAGGCAAAAUAGCCUAACCGCUAAUACGUCAGGUCAAGGUGUAGCAAACGUUAAGGGAGAGAUUGGCUACAUUUUUUAAUAGUAAAAAAUACAAAAAGUACCAUGAAACAGUACAUGAAGGUGGAUUUAGUAGUAAAAUAAAUUAGAGCCUUUAUUUUAACACUGCUCUGGGACGCGUACACACCGCCCGUCACCCUCCUCAAAAACAACAACACACAUAUAUAAACAGAGACCCCAUACAGAGGAGGUAAGUCGUAACAUGGUAAGCGUACCGGAAGGUGUGCUUGGACUAA
This 951-nucleotide non-coding RNA is filed under the name Takydromus intermedius. Its description in RNAcentral is "12S ribosomal RNA". It matches the Rfam family "Bacterial small subunit ribosomal RNA". Lineage: Eukaryota; Metazoa; Chordata; Lepidosauria; Squamata; Lacertidae. The record is from RNAcentral.